UAGAGGACAGGAGAGAAGUGGGAAGUAGACCGAGGAGGGUGAACUCUGACUGUCCUCCAAGGACACAUGAAGGAAUUCAGACUUUUCUACAAAACAGUGUCUCCAAAAUAGAUGGAACAGUAAAUGGAUAUAUUAUGUGGAUUAAUAUACAUCCAUAAUUAACCUUUUUUUUGGAGAGCACAGUUUAAAAACAUGCGGAUGACAGGAAUGGUGGAGAGAAGAAGCAACGUGGAGGACGAAGAUGAAUGAAUAAAUUGAGAGAGAGAAAACAAGAGGAGGAAGGAUGUAGAGAUAAAGAAGAAAAAGAGCAGAGUAGAGAAAAGCA
Kogia breviceps (pygmy sperm whale) is the source of this 325-nucleotide non-coding RNA. The record is from RefSeq and is a predicted model, not a curated record. NCBI's taxonomy places the organism in Eukaryota, Metazoa, Chordata, Mammalia, Artiodactyla, Physeteridae.